CAGAGGGUGCAAGCGUUGUUCGGAAUUACUGGGCGUAAAGCGCGCGCAGGCGGAACGUCAAGUCGGAAGUGAAAUCUCGCCGCUCAACGGCGGGGCUGCUUUCGAUACUGUCGCUCUAGGGACCGGUAGAGGCUGGUAGAAUUGCAGGUGUAGCGGUGGAAUGCGUAGAGAUCUGCAAGAAUACCCGUGGCGAAGGCGGCCAGCUGGGCCGGGUCCGACGCUGAGGCGCGAAAGCGUGGGGAGCAAACAGGAUUAGAUACCCUGGUAGUCCACGCCGUAAACGAUGGGCACUAGGUGCCGGGGGGAGCGACCCCUUCGGUGCCGCAGCUAACGCGAUAAGUGCCCCGCCUGGGGAGUACGGCCGCAAGGCUG
This 372-nucleotide ribosomal RNA is filed under the name uncultured organism. RNAcentral describes it as "bacterial SSU rRNA". It matches the Rfam family "Bacterial small subunit ribosomal RNA", at positions 526 to 896 of the family's 1533-position model. The record is from RNAcentral.